Cinara cedri is the source of this 346-nucleotide non-coding RNA. Lineage: Eukaryota; Metazoa; Arthropoda; Insecta; Hemiptera; Aphididae. The record is from the annotation of a GenBank genome assembly.
CAAAAACGAACGUUGCGAAUAAUAAUUGUUGAUCGCGCACAACAGGGUCUCGUGGCCGCGUAAAUUUGAUUUUCAGAAAAUGUUUACACGUCCCUCGUUUUUUUCAAUGUUCACGCGGAACAAUGAUUGUCAAUAUUGGAUAUCGCUUUUGAUUUUCGCCUACAGUCGAAACAAUAAAAAAAAAAAUCCGAAAAAUCGAAAAUCCGCGGUCAACUCGUUAACUCGCCAAAAAAAACCGCGUUAAAGACCCUGUUCGCGCGGACCGGAUCGUUUCACACCUUUUUUCCCAUCGAACGAAUCGGAGAAACGAUAAACGCGUACGUACGUUUAUCGAUCGAAUAACGGG